RNAcentral lists this transfer RNA (73 nucleotides) under Trichonephila inaurata madagascariensis. It matches the Rfam family "tRNA". Rfam says of the family: Transfer RNA (tRNA) molecules are approximately 80 nucleotides in length. Their secondary structure includes four short double-helical elements and three loops (D, anti-codon, and T loops). The record is from Rfam by way of RNAcentral. Lineage: Eukaryota; Metazoa; Arthropoda; Arachnida; Araneae; Nephilidae.
GUCCCUGUAGCGCAAUGGAUAGCGCGUUGGACUUAUAAUCCAAAGGUCGUGGAUUCAAAUCCUACCUGGGAUG